RNAcentral lists this ribosomal RNA (2318 nucleotides) under human gut metagenome. Its description in RNAcentral is "bacterial LSU rRNA". It matches the Rfam family "Bacterial large subunit ribosomal RNA", at positions 14 to 2346 of the family's 2925-position model. The record is from RNAcentral.
AGGGCAUACGGUGGAUGCCUAGGCGCCAAGAGCCGAAGAAGGACGCGGUAAGCUGCGAAAAGCCACGGGGAACUGCAAGCAAGUAUUGAUCCGUGGAUAUCCGAAUGGGGAAACCCGGCCAUCGUCAUGGAUGGUCACCCGCAAGGGAGGGAACCUGGGGAACUGAAACAUCUAAGUACCCGGAGGAAGAGAAAUCAAACGAGAUGCCCACAGUAGCGGCGAGCGAAGAGGGCAGAGCCCAAACCGAGAAGCUCCGGCUUUUCGGGGUUGAGGACCGGCAGAAUCGAAGUCAGGCCUAGUUGAAUUACCUGGAAAGGUAAGCGAGAGAGGGUAAAAGCCCCGUAGACGAAAGGCAGAGCAGAGAGGCCGAGAUCCAGAGUACCACGAAGCACGAGGAAUUUUGUGGGAAGCAGGGGGGACCACCCUCCAAGGCUAAAAACUACUUGGCGACCGAUAGCGCAUAGUACCGUGAGGGAAAGGUGAAAAGAACCCCGGGAGGGGAGUGAAAUAGUACCUGAAACCGUAUGUCUACAAGCAGUCGAAGCGAAAGCGACGGCGUGCCUAUUGAAGAAUGAACCAACGAGUUAUCUGCACUAGCGAGGUUAAGUGGAAGACACGGAGCCGCAGCGAAAGCGAGUCUUAAGAGGGCGCUAGUUAGUGUAGGUAGACCCGAAACCGCAGUGAUCUACCCAUGUCCAGGUUGAAGCGCAGGUAAAAUUGCGUGGAGGACCGAACCGGUGAGCGUUGAAAAGCUUUCGGAUGAGAUGUGGGUAGGGGUGAAAUUCCAAUCGAACGCGGAGAUAGCUGGUUCUCCCCGAAAUAGCUUUAGGGCUAGCCUGAGGUAGUAAGUAUAGGCGGUAGAGCACUGAUCGGGCUAGGGGCCGUAAAGGUUACCGAACCCUGUCAAACUCCGAAUGGAUAUACUGUAGAGCCUUGGAGUCAGACUACGAGUGAUAAGAUCCGUGGUCAAAAGGGAAACAGCCCAGACCACCAGCUAAGGUCCCCAAUGUCGUACUAAGUGGAAAAGGAUGUGGGGUUUCAUAAACAACCAGGAUGUUGGCUCAGAAGCAGCCACCAUUUAAAGAGUGCGUAAUAGCUCACUGGUCGAGAGACCCUGCGCCGAAGAUUCCCGGGGCUAAAGUACGAAACCGAAGCUGUGGCUGUAUACGUAAAGUAUACGGGGUAGGGGAGCGUUCCCAUAGGGUAGAAGUCGAACUGGAAGGUUCGGUGGACUUGUGGGAAGUGAGAAUGUUGGUAUGAGUAGCGAAAAGAAAGGUGAGAAUCCUUUCCACCGAAAGCAUAAGGAUUCCUGAGCAACGAUCGUCGUCUCAGGGUAAGUCGGGACCUAAUCCGAGGCAGAGAGCGUAGGAGAUGGACAACUGGUUGAUAUUCCAGUACCGGUAGUAAUUGUUUGAGCAAUGGAGUGACACAGAAGGGCAGGCAAGCAUGCGAAUGGAAGAGCAUGUGUAAGCGUGUAGGGUGGUGCAUAGGCAAAUCCGUGCACUGAAAGCCUGAGGCGUGAUGCGGAGUGAGCAGAGAUGCGAGCGAAGUUGUUGACCCCACACUGUCGAGAAAAGCUUCUAGUGAGAGAGCUACCGCCCGUACCGUAAACCGACACAGGUAUGCGGGGAGAGAAUCCUAAGGUGCGCGGGAGAACCCUCGUUAAGGAACUCGGCAAAAUGUACCCGUAACUUCGGGAUAAGGGUAGCCACUGUUGUGAAGUCCCAUGCGGAUGGAGCAUAGAGUGGUCGCAGAGAAGAGGCCCAAGCGACUGUUUACCAUAAACACAGGUGCCUGCUAAAGCGAAAGCUGACGUAUAGGUGCUGACACCUGCCCAGUGCCGGAAGGUUAAGGAAGGAUGUUCGGAUUAGUCCAAAGCAUUCGACUGAAGCCCCGGUGAACGGCGGCCGUAACUAUAACGGUCCUAAGGUAGCGAAAUUCCUUGUCGGGUAAGUUCCGACCCGCACGAAAGGUGUAACGAUUUGGGCACUGUCUCAACGAGGGACCCGGUGAAAUUGAAAUACCUGUGAAGAUGCAGGUUACCCGCGACUGGACAGAAAGACCCCAUGGAGCUUUACUGUAACCUGACAUUGGGUUUUGAUACAUUACGUACAGGAUAGGUGGGAGGCUUGGAAAGCUGGACGCUAGUCUGGCUGGAGCCGACGUUGGGAUACCACCCUUGAUGUAUUGAAAUUCUAACCGCGAGAGUAACGAAAUCCGGGACAGUGUCAGGCGGGCAGUUUGACUGGGGCGGUCGCCUCCGAAAGAGUAACGGAGGCGCCCAAAGGUUCCCUCAGCGCGGCCGGAAAUCGCGCGAA